Long non-coding RNA from Passer domesticus (house sparrow), 823 nucleotides. RefSeq lists it as uncharacterized. The record is from RefSeq and is a predicted model, not a curated record. The transcript has 3 exons. NCBI's taxonomy places the organism in Eukaryota, Metazoa, Chordata, Aves, Passeriformes, Passeridae.
GGUCACACAGAAAUCUGCUGAACUGCACGGACCCCACAAGUUCCUCUGGUGAUUUUUCUCCAAUCCAAGAAGCUCACACUUUCUUCUGCCCUGGUUCCUGACUUCAAACCUGAGGCAAACUAGAGUCCGCUGUGCAAGACUGCUGCAGAGAUCUUUCCUGCUUAAACCUGACUGCCAGGCACCAGCCACAACAUGGGGCUCUUCCAUUUAUUUACUACACUGAAUUGUUGGGUUUUAUUUCACAGUUACUUUGGUUUCACCUUUAUUUUUCUGCAUGAGGUACAACUUAAUCCCUGCUCCAGAGAAAGAAUUAUUUGCUUCCUCCAGUUUUUCAAGAGUGUCAUCCUAUCAGAUCCCCAAGCAUGUCAGAAACGUUCAGAUGUCAAAUGGGGAAAAAUACAUGCAAACCCUGCCAGAGUUUAGACAUUCAGCUGACUGCUGCCACUUGCAGAAAAGCGCAUCUGAGAGCCAGACCUGGUUUGCCUCUUUUACCAUCUGCAGCACCAGGGAAGAUGGGAUAUUUUGCCCAUGGGACACACUUCCAGACAGCAGAGUAAGAGUCAAAGGGGAAAACCUCAGGUUGUCAUCAUAGACUUAGAAAUAAAGGCUGCUUUGCUGGACAGUAUUUGGGUCCUCUACCAUGACCCAACACCUGACAUCUUUUGAAUUUCAAAUCUAAAAUACAGAGACACUAAAUCUUCUCAAAUAAAAUGCCUUUACCAGCAUAGUCACAGCACCACUCUCCACAAUGGCUUCAGAGGAACCAAGGAGAUGCUGGCUGGAAGGCAGUCCAGUCCCCAUUCACAGCAGGGCUAUCAUUAAA